Onthophagus taurus is the source of this 1384-nucleotide non-coding RNA. NCBI's taxonomy places the organism in Eukaryota, Metazoa, Arthropoda, Insecta, Coleoptera, Scarabaeidae. The record is from RefSeq and is a predicted model, not a curated record.
CUCACGGUGAAAUAAUUAAUAAUAUUAUCUUUUAACUUGUAGUUAAUACGAAGUAAAUUAAUUAUAAAGUUUUAAUAAUUGAAUUAUAUGUAAUGACAUUGUAAUAGCAUAACCAAACAAAAUAAUACCUCAAAUUAGUCGUAUUUAAGAUUAGUGAAGUUCUCGCAUAAGGAAACUUGGAUUCUUCAAAACGAAUCGGUAACUAUGAUUCUUGAUUGGAUUGGAAUAAUUCUUCAGGAUGGUAUACUGGAUUAAUUGGAUAUCAGGAACCAGUUAAUUUUCUUGUUUAUUAUUAAAGAUUUCAACGUCCAGCUUCAAAAAUAUUUAAUCUACGGAUUUUGUCCAAUUCUUCAUCCAAACUCCUAUAUGAUGGAUGGUUUUCGUUUUUGAAAUGCUGAGAUUAUCGUUUUCAAUGGUUUCAACCGGACAAACAUGAAUUACAAUAAGAAAUUAAUGAAAAAUGAAAUUUGAGGUUAUGUCACUGUCAAAAUUUUACAAAAUUACUUCGUAUUGACUUUACAUGGAUUAAGUACAAUAAAAAACGUAAACGAUCAACAAUACAUAAUGAAUUGGAACAUAUUUACAACAUUUUAUUAAUACAAAAACAAAUUCCUAUAAUUAUUAUUCGUAAUCUCACCCACGAUUAAUACGAUUAUGCAAAAUUAAAAAAAAAAAUAUUGAAUGACUUGGUUUGGUUAUAUCAUUACAUUAUAUACCUAUCAUAUUCCUGCUAAGCAACACGAAAAAUGCUUAUAAUUUAUAAUAGAGUAGCAGCGGUGGAGAAAGGAGUAAAGGGUUUCCAAAUGACCAAAAUAUUCCCUUUCAAUCGUUUUGUAUUUAGGUAUUAUGAUGAAUUUAGCCAUGCCAUAGAAAUUCCAUCGUGUACGACACAUCCUACAUCAGCUGCUGACACACAAAGCAAUAACAAUGCUCAGACAGACAAGAAUUUGGACAGAACACCUUCUUCUAUCCACUUCGAAAGUCGACAGAAUCAGAAUCUUCCUUAGAUUUAGAUUUAGAAGAAGUUUUAGAAGAUGCGAGCAAAACAAGGCUGUGCAACCCAAGAAAGAAAACACAAAGUUUAAUACAUCUUUUAGCAUUCCUGACAGCAAAAACUAGUAGAAUAAAAUAUUCAGUUGUUCUGAUUUCAACGCCAGUCAAAGAAGAGCUGGAAAAAAAGGAAAACGAAGAAGAAGUUUAAAUCUUCAUUAAAUUUGCUUUAAAUUGUUUUUUAUUUCAUGAUGAUAUCUCAAUUAGUUUUUGAGAUAUGUAAAGAUAAUCAUCCCAACACUAAUGUUUAAGGUUAUGCAAGGUUGCGUUCAAAAAUUCAUAAAUCUGAAAUUUCAAGAUUCGAAGAAAUGAUAUUCAAAGUAUUGAAUACUAA